RNAcentral lists this ribosomal RNA (301 nucleotides) under uncultured bacterium. RNAcentral's name for it is "partial 16S ribosomal RNA". It matches the Rfam family "Bacterial small subunit ribosomal RNA", at positions 509 to 807 of the family's 1533-position model. The record is from RNAcentral.
CAGUAGCCGCGGGAAAACGAAGGGUGCAAGCGUUGCUCGGAAUUACUGGGCGUAAAGCGUGCGUAGGUGGUGGUUUAAGUCCGUUGUGAAAGCCCUGGGCUCAACCUGGGAAUUGCAGUGGAUACUGGGUCACUAGAGUGUGGUAGAGGAUAGUGGAAUUUCCGGUGUAGCAGUGAAAUGCGUAGAGAUCGGAAGGAACAUCUGUGGCGAAGGCGACUAUCUGGGCCAACACUGACACUGAGGCACGAAAGCGUGGGGAGCAAACAGGAUUAGAUACCCCAGUAGUCCCUGUCUCUUAUAC